RNAcentral lists this ribosomal RNA (253 nucleotides) under uncultured bacterium. RNAcentral's name for it is "partial 16S ribosomal RNA". It matches the Rfam family "Bacterial small subunit ribosomal RNA", at positions 524 to 776 of the family's 1533-position model. The record is from RNAcentral.
UACGUAGGGUGCGAGCGUUGUCCGGAAUUACUGGGCGUAAAGAGCUCGUAGGUGGUUUGUCGCGUUGUCCGUGAAAACUCACAACUCAAUUGUGGGCGUGCGGGCGAUACGGGCAGACUGGAGUACUGCAGGGGAGACUGGAAUUCCUGGUGUAGCGGUGGAAUGCGCAGAUAUCGAGAGGAACACCUGCGGCGAAGGCGGGUUGCUGGGCUGAUACUGACGCUGAGGCGCGAAAGCCAGGGGAGCGAACAGG